UGCUGGACUGGGCAAAAAAAGCUGUUAGCCUGGAGGGCCCACGCUCGCUGCAGCAGCACAGACAGCUUUGAAUGAAUCACAGGAUUCCAAGAAUUAGCGACAAACCUCAUCACGUGGGCAACCCGCAGCCCAGGAGCCGCCAGAACAAUGCAGUGACUGAGGAGGCUGAUGUGAUCCCUGGAUGUCGAAUACCUUCCGUAGGAGUAAAGAGAACCAUUAGGCCCAGACAGCGGUUGAAAACCACAGCUCAGUUGGCGAGGAGCGCCGUGCAGCAGCGGAAGCGCGUGGAAAAAUUCUGGCUGACUCAUCCAUAAUUCAUCUGGCAUCCCGGGGAAUGUGCGCACUGGAGCGGGAUCCCUGGCACUCCCACAAGGGAGAGACCCGCUGCCCCGGCGAGAGAUGAAAACCUGAAGACCAGCACCUGUCAGAGUGCUUAUUAACCUAUAACAGAACUGGCAAAAACAGACGAUCACCGAAUGUUUCUUUUCCUCAACCUGUUUAAAACAGGCACAACAGUGGCCUCCGAGGGAAGAAAUGCAACAUUUCUUAUACCUGUGACUAUGCUCACCCUCGGUCCAGCCAGGCAGGGGUGCUGCUGGAAUUGCAGCAGCCCCAGGACAUGGUAGGGAAGAACUGCCCCAAUUUGAGAGGAAACCCUCGCUGCAACACUUGCUUUUCAGUCCUGCCCGAGAGUUCACUGAACUCCACGCAGAAGGUCUGUCAAGUUAGGAAAGUUUCCUGUAGUCUCUGCCUCUUCAAAAAAUACCCAACAGCCAGAUUAAAUCUGUCUUGUAGUGACUUUCAUGUCAUCAGAUAGAGGAGUUUCUAAAGAGAUGCAAGCGCAAUGGCCAAGUCACUGUGCUAGAGAUGCAUGAGUUCAUUUUAAAAUAUGUUUCCCGUUUCACCCUUAUGCAUGAUCUUCUCUUAAAAACAGUAAAUUCAAAUUAGUACUGAAUACAUUUUCUUAAAUAGCACCAACUAUGGGAAAGGCUCUUUCAACUCCAUAACAUAUAUCAUCAUGAUACUGUAGGAAUCUUGUACAGUAUUAGUGUAUCUUAUCUCUGAAGUUCACAUUUGGAGUUCAACUAUGUAUCAAAAAAAUCCCCCUCUGAAAGGGGACAUUAGUCAGCUUACUACUGGCUUGCCUUUUCUUUAUUACCUCAUGUUUAUUCCCCUAGUUACAUGCUGCAUAGUUCAAACAUUGCGUGUUAGUAGCGAACAUCUCCAUUCCUGUUCAGAUACGGGGCCCUGGCUUUGAUACCUGAUACACUGUGCACCAAUGUGAAGCUUGAUUUACCAGUGAGAAUCCAAGGGAGUUCAAAAUCCUGCUGGCACAAGUGAGAUUGGGGGACCAGGCCCAGGACUUUUGUUUUGGAGCUGCUAGUCACCGAUUUUUGCAGUAUUAGAGUCAACGCUUUGUCCAUCCUCUCAGCCCUAGUAAACAAAGGCAAAACUGCGCAGUGCCUAAUAUUUUUAUGUUUAUUUUAAGAGUAUCAUCUUGCAAUGCCAAAUUCAAGAAUUUGUCUCAUGCAUCUGUUGAUUUUGUAACUAGAGCACUGUUGGUCAAAUUGUUUUCCUUACUGCUUCGUAAUUGUGGGAGGAAAACAUGUAAGUGGAUCGGAAUUGUGCACCACAACAAUGAAUGUAACUCUCAUUUAAGGCACAGGAUAUGAGAUAGAGGGAUCAAACUGGAGCCAGCUGAGGACAGCUCUUCUACCAGGCACUCCAGUUCCCCUAGGAGGAUUUUAUCCAACCCUUGAAACCUAGUUGGGAUAUUUCUUCCAGUAGAGCUACACCCAUGGUGUAGGCAGGGUGCAGACAUUUUAGCACAGUCAAACCAUAUGCAGCUUGGUUACACUUUGCUGUGUUCUUGGCAGCACUGAAGGAGCAUGAAUUAGUGGAUUUUUUUCAUGUAUGUGUUUGUAAAAGGCACAGUACUGGAUGUUUGACAUCACUGAGGAGCCAAAAUAAAUAUACUGUGGUAAUGACCUUCAGGAUGUGGAAGAGUAUGCUGUAUCACUUAAUGAUAAGUAAAUAAACAGAAUAACAAUU
Molecule: long non-coding RNA, 2052 nt
Organism: Tyto alba (common barn owl)
Lineage: Eukaryota; Metazoa; Chordata; Aves; Strigiformes; Tytonidae
Exons: 5
Source: RefSeq, a predicted model, not a curated record